This 429-nucleotide long non-coding RNA is filed under the name Homo sapiens (human). Its description in RNAcentral is "HSALNT0404736". Lineage: Eukaryota; Metazoa; Chordata; Mammalia; Primates; Hominidae. The record is from RNAcentral.
GUCGUUUUGCCCCUUCCUGUGGCUGACAGCAUCAGAGCAACCAGGUUGCCAAGAACUGAGUGAUGUGUCCACAUCCCGGGAGAGAGAAGCCAACAGAAGCUGGAAGAGCUAAAUCAGACUGCUCCCUAGAGCUUCAGAAGGAGCCAGAACUGAUGACUCCAAGAUCUUAGCCCAGUGAAACUGAUCUGGACUUCUGAACUAUGAGAGAUUCCAUUCCUGUUGUUUGAAGCUACCACAUUAUUGAGAACUUGUUACAGUAGCCCGAGGACACUAACACAAAUGGGGCUCCGGGAAAAUCCAGACUAAAGGUGUUGUGUUGGUUUGCAAUCUCCUUGCUUAACUUUCUGAUACUAGACAUAAAUAGAUUGGUGAAAAAUUUUGUGAUUGAAGAAAUGUACAUGAAACCUACAGCGUACAGAGAAGCAUCUG